RNAcentral lists this ribosomal RNA (179 nucleotides) under uncultured bacterium. RNAcentral's name for it is "partial 16S ribosomal RNA". It matches the Rfam family "Bacterial small subunit ribosomal RNA", at positions 1321 to 1500 of the family's 1533-position model. The record is from RNAcentral.
UGAAGUCGGAAUUGCUAGUAAUCGCGGAUCAGCAUGCCGCGGUGAAUACGUUCCCGGGCCUUGUACACACCGCCCGUCACACCAUGGGAGCCGGUAAUACCCGAAGUCAGUAGUCCAACCUCGUGAGGACGCUGCCGAAGGUAGGAUUGGCGACUGGGGUGAAGUCGUAACAAGGUAUC